Molecule: non-coding RNA, 134 nt
Organism: Triticum aestivum (bread wheat)
Lineage: Eukaryota; Viridiplantae; Streptophyta; Magnoliopsida; Poales; Poaceae
Source: Rfam
GUAGUAUUCCCUCCGUCCCAAAAUUGUUUCUUAUAUUUGUUUAGAUACGGAUGUAUCUAACACUAAAAUGUAACUAGAUACAUCCGUAUUUAGACAAAUUUAAGACAAGAAUUUUGGGACGGAAGGAGUACAAA